AUGAACGCUGGCGGCGUGCCUAAUACAUGCAAGUCGAGCGAACAGACGAGGAGCUUGCUCCUCUGACGUUAGCGGCGGACGGGUGAGUAACACGUGGUUAACCUACCUAUAAGUCUGGGAUAACUUCGGGAAACCGGAGCUAAUACCGGAUAAUAUAUUGAACCGCAUGGUUCAAUAGUGAAAGACGGUUUUGCUGUCACUUAUAGAUGGAUCCGCGCCGCAUUAGCUAGUUGGUAAGGUAACGGCUUACCAAGGCAACGAUGCGUAGCCGACCUGAGAGGGUGAUCGGCCACACUGGAACUGAGACACGGUCCAGACUCCUACGGGAGGCAGCAGUAGGGAAUCUUCCGCAAUGGGCGAAAGCCUGACGGAGCAACGCCGCGUGAGUGAUGAAGGUCUUCGGAUCGUAAAACUCUGUUAUUAGGGAAGAACAAAUGUGUAAGUAACUAUGCACGUCUUGACGGUACCUAAUCAGAAAGCCACGGCUAACUACGUG
Molecule: ribosomal RNA, 496 nt
Filed under: uncultured bacterium
Lineage: Bacteria
Description: partial 16S ribosomal RNA
Rfam family: Bacterial small subunit ribosomal RNA
Source: RNAcentral